RNAcentral lists this ribosomal RNA (245 nucleotides) under uncultured archaeon. RNAcentral describes it as "partial 16S ribosomal RNA". It matches the Rfam family "Archaeal small subunit ribosomal RNA", at positions 474 to 718 of the family's 1478-position model. The record is from RNAcentral.
UACGUACUCCUCAAGUGGUAUCCACUAAUAUUGGGCCUAAAGCGUCUGUAGCCGGUCAGGCAAGUCUUUGGUGAAAUCCAUGCGCUUAACGUAUGGUCUGGCCAAAGAUACUACCUGGCUUGGGGUCGGAAGAGGUCAAUGGAAUUUCGGGGGUAGCGGUGAAAUGUUAUGAUCCUCGAAGGACCACCAGUAGCGAAGGCGAUUGACCAGAACGGACCUGACGGUGAGAGACGAAAGCUGGGGGA